UACGUAGGGUGCGAGCGUUGUCCGGAAUUACUGGGCGUAAAGAGCUCGUAGGUGGUUUGUCGCGUUGUCCGUGAAAACUCACAACUCAAUUGUGGGCGUGCGGGCGAUACGGGCAGACUGGAGUACUGCAGGGGAGACUGGAAUUCCUGGUGUAGCGGUGGAAUGCGCAGAUAUCAGGAGGAACACCGGUGGCGAAGGCGUUCAUCUGGCCCGAUACUGACGCUGAGGCGCGAAAGCUAGGGGAGCAAACGGG
RNAcentral lists this ribosomal RNA (253 nucleotides) under uncultured bacterium. RNAcentral's name for it is "partial 16S ribosomal RNA". It matches the Rfam family "Bacterial small subunit ribosomal RNA", at positions 524 to 776 of the family's 1533-position model. The record is from RNAcentral.